UCCGCCACCUGCGACCACAGAGCCCCACACCCUGUGUGCCACCCUGGACCUCCUUCCUGUCGGUUCGGUCCAGAUCGCCACCCCCCACCCCCGUCAACAACUAAGGGCACCUCUCUCGUUCAGACCCCGGGCAAUUUUCACAUCCCUGGGUUAUUUCAGCUGCUAUUUGCACAAAACCGACUCUCGCGGUUCUGUGGGCCCAGAGCUCGGCGCACCUGCCUGGCCGCCCUCUGCACUCCCCGCAAGCCCACGUCCUGACUGCUCCCUCGUCUCUCUGGGUGGGGUCUUUGCCCUUGGGAGACUCGGGAGUCUCGGUAUAAGCCCCGUCCUGCCGCCAGCCACAGGCUUCCCCGCUGGGCCUCCAGAUUCUCCAGUGCUGGGGUUCCGGUCCGGGGGUUCGCGGUCCGCUCCCCUUCAGUCGGUAGCUGGGACCCGCUCUGCGAGCUCGGCUCGGCCGCACCCACGCGGAGCUCAGACUCCACCUUCCCGAGGAGGGUGUGGACGCCGUGGGAGGUGGGGGAGGCCUCAGCCUCGGCCCCGGCGGUCCUCCCGGGUGGCACGAAAGGCCCUGAAGCCCUUCCACCCGCACGGGCGGAACCCGGCGUCUACAUCGAGGAGGAGGGAGUGGGAAAUGGGCGGUCAGGCUUGGGGCUGCUGGGAUCCACCCUGGAUUCCCGACCUCAGAGCCGUCGGCGGUCGCAUCCUUUCCUCGCUUUUCGAGGUCUCGUCGUGACAGUGCAUGAGGUCCAGGACCCCAUCUUCGCCUCCAUACCACGCGUGUCCCCCACCCGCCGUCGAGCGACGCGAGACUGCAGAGGUCCAGGCGGCGGCCGGGAGGCUGCGUGGAAGAGGAGGCGGCGGCCAGGAGGCGGGCUUCUCCCCUGGGCGGGUGGGUGUUUCACCCUCCCGCCCAUUCUGCUCUGUGGACAAGGAAGCUAGGACCAGUGACGUCCAGCACCAAGGACAGCUCCCAGCGCAGCAGGAUGCAAACAGACUUCUCAGCCCAGUCCCUCCAGUCCAAGUCAAGGCUAAGGCCUGGCGAUGGUGGGGGAAGAGAAACCAAGGAGAGGAAGGCUGAAGGCCAUCCAGGCUGCAAGCAGGCCAAAGAGAAGACCUGACCUGGCCAUGAGCUCCCCGAGGGCCAAGUGUGCUCCCAGACUGAGAAGGGGCUGGCUCCAGCAAGCAGAUGUGAAGAGAGGCAGAGGUGUCACCCUGCAGCUUCUGCCCGAGCUACUGAGGGCCUUGCUCACCUGGUCACUUCUAGCAAGUUGUCCCACCUGGCCCAUCUAUUUCCCAUGUUGCCUCUCGGCUGCAUCCCUAACCCUACCCCAUGCCCAAUAAAGUGUGUUGCAGAUUGAA
Mesocricetus auratus (golden hamster) is the source of this 1359-nucleotide RNA transcript. RefSeq lists it as uncharacterized. The record is from RefSeq and is a predicted model, not a curated record. The transcript is spliced from 4 exons. NCBI's taxonomy places the organism in Eukaryota, Metazoa, Chordata, Mammalia, Rodentia, Cricetidae.